Molecule: small RNA, 1031 nt
Filed under: Pongo abelii (Sumatran orangutan)
Lineage: Eukaryota; Metazoa; Chordata; Mammalia; Primates; Hominidae
Description: retained intron
Source: RNAcentral
UUUCCUGGGAGAUGACCUGACCCUUAGGUCUUCUUAUAAUAAAUGUACAUUUUAUCAGACUCAGACAUUUAUUACUCAAAACGGAAAGAGGGUCUGGCUGGCUCUGUCGCCCAGGCUGGAGUGCAAUGGCCUGAUCACAGUUCACUGCAACCUCGACCUCCGGAGCUCAAGCGAUCCUCCCUCCUUAGCCUCGUAAGUAGCUGGGAUUACAGGCGUGCCUGAAAACUGCUACCGCUGCUGCUCUCGAGGGCCCAAGGGAACCCUGGGGCUUCUCUGGACGGCCGCCCUGGGGACCGGGUGAAUCUCUCCUGCGUAGGAGUCUCUCAUCCCAUCCGCUGGGUCUGGGCGCCCAGCUUCCCGGCCUGCAAGGGCCUGUCCAAAGGACGCCGACCGAUCCUGUGGGCCUCUUCGAGCGGGACCCCCACCGUGCCUCCCCUCCAGCCUUUCGUCGGCCGCCUACGCUCCCUGGACUCUGGUAUCCGGCGGCUGGAGCUCCUCUUGAGCGCGGGGGACUCGGGCACCUUUUUCUGCAAGGGCCGCCACGAGGACGAGAGCCGUACAGUGCUUCACGUGCUGGGGGACAGGACCUAUUGCAAGGCCCCCGGGCCUACCCAUGGGUCCGUGUAUCCCCAGCUCCUGAUCCCGCUGCUGGGCGCUGGGCUGGUGCUGGGACUGGGAGCUUUGGGCCUGGUCUGGUGGCUGCACAGGUGCCUGCCCCCGCAACCGAUUCGACCACUCCCUAGAUUUGGUGAGACUAAUUCCACCCCAUUUUCUUUCUCCUACACACCCACUCCCCACCCCUCAAUUCCUGAGUCUGAGCCCUUGCUGGGAGCAGACACGUUGGUCACCUUCUCUCCAUCCUUCAGCUCUGUCCCCCCUACAUAGCUCCACUUGUGAGAACCGAGCCCCAGAGGCCAGUAAAGGAGGAAGAGCCCAAGAUUCCAGGGGACCUGGACCAGGAACCGAGCCUGCUCUAUGCGGAUCUGGACCAUAUAGCCCUCAGCAGGCCCCGCCGGCUGUCUACAGUGGAC